AAUCCUGACAGCCAUGCCGCGUGCAGGAAGACAGCCUCUGGGUCGUAAACUGCUUUUAUUCGGGAAUAAACCUUGUUACGUGUAGCAAGCUGAAUGUACCGAAGGAAUAAGGAUCGGCUAACUCCGUGCCAGCAGCCGCGGUAAUACGGAGGAUCCGGGCGUUAUCCGGAUUUAUUGGGUUUAAAGGGUGCGUAGGCGGCUUAUUAAGUCAGGGGUGAAAGACGGUGGCUCAACCAUCGCAGUGCCCUUGAUACUGAUGAGCUUGAAUACACUAGAGGUAGGCGGAAUGUGACAAGUAGCGGUGAAAUGCAUAGAUAUGUCACAGAACACCGAUUGCAAAGGCAGCUUACUAUGGUGUGAUUGACGCUGAGGCACGAAAGCGUGGGGAUCAAACAGGAUUAGAUACCCUGGUAGUCCACGCCCUAAACGAUGAAUACUCGCUGUUAGCGAUACACAGUUAGCGGCUAAGCGAAAGCGUUAAGUAUUCCACCUGGGGAGUACGCCCGCAAGGGGUGAAACUCAGG
RNAcentral lists this ribosomal RNA (524 nucleotides) under uncultured Pedobacter sp. RNAcentral describes it as "bacterial SSU rRNA". It matches the Rfam family "Bacterial small subunit ribosomal RNA", at positions 379 to 905 of the family's 1533-position model. Lineage: Bacteria; Pseudomonadati; Bacteroidota; Sphingobacteriia; Sphingobacteriales; Sphingobacteriaceae. The record is from RNAcentral.